AACGAACGCUGGCGGCGUGCCUAACACAUGCAAGUCGAACGUGAUUAGAGAGCUUGCUCUCUAUGAAAGUGGCGCACGGGUGAGUAACGCGUAGAUAAUCUACCUGAUGAUCCGGGAUAACACUUCGAAAGGGGUGCUAAUACCAGAUAAGCCCACGGGGUCUUUGGACUCUGCGGGAAAAGGAGGGGACUUUCGGGCCUUCCGUCAUCAGAUGAGUCUGCGUACCAUUAGCUAGUUGGUAGGGUGAAGGCCUACCAAGGCGACGAUGGUUAGCUGGUCUGAGAGGAUGAUCAGCCACACUGGAACUGAGACAUGGUCCAGACUCCUACGGGAGGCAGCAGUGGGGAAUUGUGCGCAAUGGGGGAAACCCUGACGCAGCGACGCCGCGUGAGUGAUGAAGGCCCUUGGGUCGUAAAGCUCUGACAGAGGGAAAGAAGUGUAUUGUGGCUAAUAUCCAUGAUGCUUGACGGUACCCUCAAAGGAAGCACCGGCUAACCCCGUGCCAGCAGCAGCCGCCG
RNAcentral lists this ribosomal RNA (518 nucleotides) under uncultured bacterium. Its description in RNAcentral is "partial 16S ribosomal RNA". It matches the Rfam family "Bacterial small subunit ribosomal RNA", at positions 29 to 523 of the family's 1533-position model. The record is from RNAcentral.